RNAcentral lists this ribosomal RNA (422 nucleotides) under uncultured bacterium. RNAcentral describes it as "bacterial SSU rRNA". It matches the Rfam family "Bacterial small subunit ribosomal RNA", at positions 355 to 774 of the family's 1533-position model. The record is from RNAcentral.
UAAGGAAUAUUGGUCAAUGGACGCAAGUCUGAACCAGCCAUGCCGCGUGGAGGAUGAAGGCCCUCUGGGUUGUAAACUUCUUUUAUAUGGGACGAAAAAGGGUCUUUCUAGAUCAACUGACGGUACCAUGUGAAUAAGCACCGGCUAACUCCGUGCCAGCAGCCGCGGUAAUACGGAGGGUGCAAGCGUUAUCCGGAUUCACUGGGUUUAAAGGGUGCGUAGGUGGGUUGGUAAGUCAGUGGUGAAAUCUCCGAGCUUAACUUGGAAACUGCCUUGGAUACUAUUUGCCUUGAAUUAUGUUGAGGUUGGCGGAAUAUAACAUGUAGCGGUGAAAUGCAUAGAUAUGACAUAGAACACCAAUUGCGAAGGCAGCUGGCUACGCAUAUAUUGACACUGAGGCACGAAAGCGUGGGGAUCAAACA